GGGGCCGUAGCUCAGUUGGGAGAGCGCUUGAAUGGCAUUCAAGAGGUCGAGGGUUCGAUUCCCUUCGGCUCCACCA
Molecule: transfer RNA, 76 nt
Filed under: Deltaproteobacteria bacterium RIFCSPLOWO2_12_FULL_60_19
Lineage: Bacteria; Deltaproteobacteria
Also listed under: 16 other names
Description: tRNA-Ala
Rfam family: tRNA
About the family: Transfer RNA (tRNA) molecules are approximately 80 nucleotides in length. Their secondary structure includes four short double-helical elements and three loops (D, anti-codon, and T loops).
Source: RNAcentral